RNAcentral lists this long non-coding RNA (180 nucleotides) under Monodelphis domestica (gray short-tailed opossum). RNAcentral's name for it is "lncRNA (ENSMODG00000031939.2)". The record is from RNAcentral. Lineage: Eukaryota; Metazoa; Chordata; Mammalia; Didelphimorphia; Didelphidae.
CGGAAGGGAAGGAUGGGGGACAGACGAACGAGGAAGAGAGAGAUGAGAAGGAAAAGGAGGGUUGAAGAAGGGAUUCGGAUUCAGGAUUGAGCUGGUGACAGUCAGAAGAAUCUCUCUCUGGAGAAGGAUGGCUGGCUGAACUGGUGUCUAUAUUCUUGUUUGGACAAAUCUUGUGGUGAG